ACAUACACAGAAGGACAUCCCCCAUCAGUCAUUGGAAGGUUUGAACAGAAUUACUGUAAAGCACUGUGUUCCAGGCCUGGUUCACAGUGAAUGGCAGCCGUGUUGAGGAUGAGGAAGAAGCCCACGAUUUCCUGCUCAGCCAGAUCUUUGUUUCAGGCCCACUUCAGACUAAGGAAUUUCAUCAGACCUUUCGUGGUGAGCCCAGCCCAUGCUGACUCAUCCAUUUACAAAUGAUAAGUGGACCCUCCUGUUUUCCAGUUCCUGGGGAUGCUGUGGUGUAACCGGCCUGCCUUCGUGGAUCACGGUUCAGGAAGUGAUGCAGUAGAAUGAGCUCAUGUUAGUGCUUCUUCUAGAGAUUUAAAAACAGGAUUGUAGCUCUUCAUCAUGCUGAAGGUCAGUACCAGAUGCUAUUCUUUCCUGGUAAUCAACACUUGACCUUCAUAGCUCAGCCCAUCUGAUGCCUUGUGAAGCAUCCACUGACCACCCCAAGAAGAGUUCUCUAAACGAUAACAUAACAGCACUUGCACAGUAUACUGGUCCCUAGGAGGCCAUCGGUGUCCUGAAAUAGGGACGUUUCCUAGGUUCCCAGUGCCUAGGAUGGAAGAGCUCAGUGAAGGGAUGACCCCCACUUCUUGGCAUCAGAUGCUAAAGCCUGUGUGGAGGGUACUGACUGGGAGACAGCGGCUCUCUGUCUGUGGAGAAUACCAUCAGAGAGCAGGUAUUAGAAACUAGCCUUGGUCUCAGAAACCAUAUUCCCUAUGUUAUUUAAUUGGGAACACUGCUAAUUACACUUUUGUGUUGCUAUUUUUCUGUGACCUUUGAUACAGUUGUAACUUGUGUUAUUGCAUAAUUACCUUGAAUGAAACAUCUGAGGGUGAAUCAGCAUUAGUUCACAUUCAUAAAUAUCCUGAAGGCAAGGAGGAAGAAAUGAAGAAGCCUGAGCCUGAGCUCAGUGAACUUCAGGCAAGUCAUCUGAAAAAGCCAAUAUUCUCUCCUUCUAUCGUCUGAAACCUGAUCCCUCCAGUUCCCAUAGAAGAGAGUACUGAGAAAGACAACUGGAAUCAGGGGCAUCUUUGGGAUGAGCUAGAAACCUAGCACAGUGGAAACUCCCACGAAUCUAUGAGGGUGACCAUAGCUCAGACUCCUAGCAAUGUGGGGCACAGAGCCUGAACCAGCCAUCUCCUGGAACCAGGCAAAACUCCCAGGGGAGGGACUGGGACCCCCAACUCAGCCACAUAAACUUUGGCUUACAAUUUGCUGUGCCUAAAAGAUUAGCUGGGGUAAAGCUGAUGCAGAAAUUAUGGGAAUGGCCAACCAAUGACUGGUCCAGCUUGAGAUCCAUACCACGAGAGGGAGCCCACUCCUGACACUGCCUAAAUGGCCAGGACCCAGAGGCUGGACAGUCCAGAGGCCAAGGAUAGGACCAAGCAUGGCUGUCAAAAAAAGUCAAUGAAGUGAUUCCUAAUGAUAUUCUGCUAUACUCAUAGAUUGUUGCCGAGCCCAAUUUUCAUCAGAGAGGUUUCAUUCAGCAACUGAUGGAAACAGAUGCAGAGAACCACAGUCAAACACUAGGUGGACUUCGGCAAAUCCUGUGGAAGAGGGGGAGAAGGACUGUGGGAGCCAGAGGGGCCAAAGACACCACAAGAAAACCAUGUAAACAACUAACCUAGGCUCAUAAGGGCUCACAGAGACUGAGCUGCCCAUCAGAGAGCAUGCAUGGGACUGACCUAGGCCCUCUGCACAUGUAUUACAGUUGUGUAGCUUUUGGGACCCCUAACAGCGGGAGCAGGGCCUGUCUCUGACUCUUACGUGCUUUUGGGACCCUUUUUUCCUUCUGUGUUGCCUCAUCCAGUCUUAAUAGGAGAGCAGGUGCCUAGUCUUAUUGCAACUUGAUAUACCAUGGCUGGCUGAUAUGAGAGACUUACCCUUUUCUCAAGAAAAAGGAGGAGGAGGGAUGGGGGUGGGGUGAGGUGGAUUGGAGAGAGGGACUGGGAGGAGAGGAGGGAGAGAGGGGAAAAGUGAUUGUUCUGGAACAAAUUAAUUAGUUAACUAAUAAAAAUAAAAGCAAAAUGUACAAUAAAGCCAAUUUCACACAAAUUGCAAAGUCAUUUCAAUUGCUAGAGAUAUGUGUGCUUGAUCUAUAGGGAUGUUACUCUACUUGACUUUAUUCCAGAAUUAAAAAGAUCAUCUUAAAGUUAAUUGCAUAUCUGUUA
Cricetulus griseus (Chinese hamster) is the source of this 2213-nucleotide non-coding RNA. NCBI's taxonomy places the organism in Eukaryota, Metazoa, Chordata, Mammalia, Rodentia, Cricetidae. The record is from RefSeq and is a predicted model, not a curated record.